CUACCCACAAGGCAUAAAACCACCAUGAUCAGUGCAACACACUCCUUUGCCAGAAUUCUGCAGAAACGGUUCACUCCAGAACAGAGUCUGAAGAAGAGGAAGAAGCCAUAGCCCUGAGCGAAGGAGGAGAGGAAGGCAAAGACACAGUGGAUGCCCAGUGCAGUGACCAGACACUGCCGACGUCCAAUCUUGUCUGCCAGACCGCCCCACACAAAUGCCCCCACCAUCAUUCCGACAUACACUAUCAAACCUGCAAUAGAGAAAAAGGCCUGUCAGAGCACUGAACAAGAGCACUAUUGGCAUGACAGAGGCCAUACAAUGCUGACAUCAGAGGGGCGGAGCAUAGGACUGUCAAGAAAAAAGGAGAGGACUUCCCGCGAAUGGGGGAGCAUAUGGAAACCAGCCCCGAUCCCCCUGCCAACAUAGUGAGGCUGCCACUUCUGUGAUUGGACAGAUUCAGUCACCCUCCUCAUGGACCCCAUCCACACCUCUGCCAAGGCAGAGGGGACACUUCUCCUGUGACUUUGUCCUCAUGGCGAGAGUGGCGGAAAGUGAGUUUUACGGCAGGCACAGAGAAAUCUGCAGCAAUCUGCUGUCGUCAUGACAGAUGAGGGGCUGCAAUUUAAUCCUGCUUAAGACCGCGGAAAUUUCAUUCUGUGCACAGCCCCAAAGCUUUGGAUUACCAUUUCACGAGAGAGAACAAAAUCAUGAUUCUAUGCAAACGCAUCCUUUCUUUUGAUAAUUAUUUUUAUUUUUUUGGGACGGAGGGAUGGAGCAGGGGCACAGAGGGUUCUAGAAGAGGAUGGACAGUUUCCAACUGUUGCUUAUCAACAGUUUAGCCUUGCUAAAAUCAGCAGUGACAGCUAACAGGAGCCACAGCUGUUAUUACUGGGCAUAUGGAAGAAAGGUGGCUGUCAGCCCUAAUGAAGCCCCUCUGCUGCUCACCCUUACUGCAUAUUGAGGGCUUAAAAGGAUUUGUUUGUGCAAAGAGAGCACGGACAAGAGAACACAAACUACAAGGUGAAAAUACAAGCAGCAUAACAAUUACAAUGCAACGUAUUUCAAAUGAGCCCACAGGUUCAUUUUCCAAUCUGUCACAACCAUUUACUGAAAAAUCAACUAAGACUGCACAGAAUAGAUUACAAAAAUAUAGCAACACUACUGACAGAAAUUAUAAUUUGGCUGCAAAACUGACCUGAUUCAGUACAAUAUCAAUGUAUAUCUGCUAAUACUGCAUGGCUUGUAUUAGUAGAUAUGCAUUGAUAGUUAAAUGGAUAAGCUCUGUUUUGCAGGUAACUUACACUUUCUGAAUAUGGUGUUGCUUUUUUAAAUGUAAAUGCACACAUAUGUGACAGAUAGAUUUUAGAUGCAACAGUGCUGCCAGGAUGCUGAUGUCUGCAUUCGUAACUAGUAACAGAAAAUGAAAAUGGAUAAACGAAUUGCUUCUCAGAUGAUUUGCGGGGAUUUGCAGGAGGACCACUCUUGCGGAGGUUAAGAGAAGAAGCCUCUUCUCCUGGGCUAUAGAGUUCACCUUCAGCAUCAUGCUCUAGCUCUGGAAACAUGGGCAGCUGGGAAUUAUGUAACACCUGCCUUUGUCUUUGGGUUCACCUUUCAUUUAUUUAUUUACUUCUUUUUUAGACCAGGGCUUCAUAGUAAGUGCUGAAGGGUAUCACAGAGGGCAAAGACCAUGGACUGUUAAAAGGCAUGCCUUCUCACAACUUAU
Long non-coding RNA from Anguilla rostrata (American eel), 1723 nucleotides. RefSeq lists it as uncharacterized. The record is from RefSeq and is a predicted model, not a curated record. NCBI's taxonomy places the organism in Eukaryota, Metazoa, Chordata, Actinopteri, Anguilliformes, Anguillidae. The transcript is spliced from 4 exons.